GAUGAACGCUGGCGGCGUGCCUAAUACAUGCAAGUCGAGCGAACGGACGAGAAGCUUGCUUCUCUGAUGUUAGCGGCGGACGGGUGAGUAACACGUGGAUAACCUACCUAUAAGACUGGGAUAACUUCGGGAAACCGGAACUAAUACCGGAUGAUAUUUUGAACCGCAUGGUUCAAAAGUGAAAGACGGUCUUGCAGUCACUUAUAGAUGGAUCCGCGCUGCAUUAGCUAGUUGGUAAGGUAACGGCUUACCAAGGCAACGAUGCAUAGCCGACCUGAGAGGGUGAUCGGCCACACUGGAACUGAGACACGGUCCAGACUCCUACGGGAGGCAGCAGUAGGGAAUCUUCCGCAAAGGGCGAAAGCCUGACGGAGCAACGCCGCGUGAGUGAUGAAGGUCUUCGGAUCGUAAAACUCUGUUAUUAGGGAAGAACAUAUGUGUAAGUAACUGUGCACAUCUUGACGGUACCUAAUCAGAAAGCCACGGCUAACUACGUG
RNAcentral lists this ribosomal RNA (497 nucleotides) under uncultured bacterium. Its description in RNAcentral is "partial 16S ribosomal RNA". It matches the Rfam family "Bacterial small subunit ribosomal RNA", at positions 28 to 507 of the family's 1533-position model. The record is from RNAcentral.